Molecule: ribosomal RNA, 497 nt
Filed under: uncultured bacterium
Lineage: Bacteria
Description: partial 16S ribosomal RNA
Rfam family: Bacterial small subunit ribosomal RNA
Source: RNAcentral
GACGAACGCUGGCGGCGUGCCUAAUACAUGCAAGUUGAGCGAUGAAGAUUGGUGCUUGCACCAAUUUGAAGAGCAGCGAACGGGUGAGUAACGCGUGGGGAAUCUGCCUUUGAGCGGGGGACAACAUUUGGAAACGAAUGCUAAUACCGCAUAACAACUUUAAACAUAAGUUUUAAGUUUGAAAGAUGCAAUUGCAUCACUCAAAGAUGAUCCCGCGUUGUAUUAGCUAGUUGGUGAGGUAAAGGCUCACCAAGGCGAUGAUACAUAGCCGACCUGAGAGGGUGAUCGGCCACAUUGGGACUGAGACACGGCCCAAACUCCUACGGGAGGCAGCAGUAGGGAAUCUUCGGCAAUGGACGAAAGUCUGACCGAGCAACGCCGCGUGAGUGAAGAAGGUUUUCGGAUCGUAAAACUCUGUUGGUAGAGAAGAACGGUGGUGAGAGUGGAAAGCUCAUCAAGUGACGGUAACUACCCAGAAAGGGACGGCUAACUACGUG